RNAcentral lists this ribosomal RNA (468 nucleotides) under uncultured bacterium. RNAcentral describes it as "partial 16S ribosomal RNA". It matches the Rfam family "Bacterial small subunit ribosomal RNA", at positions 28 to 507 of the family's 1533-position model. The record is from RNAcentral.
GACGAACGCUGGCGGCGUGCUCAACACAUGCAAGUCGAACGGAAAGGCCCUGCUUUUGUGGGGUGCUCGAGUGGCGAACGGGUGAGUAACACGUGAGUAACCUGCCCUUGACUUUGGUAUAACUUCAGGAAACUGGGGCUAAUACCGGAUAGGAGCUCCUGCUGCAUGGUGGGGGUUGGAAAGUUUCGGCGGUCGGGGAUGGACUCGCGGCUUAUCAGCUUGUUGGUGGGGUAGUGGCUUACCAAGGCUUUGACGGGUAGCCUGCCUGCGAGGGUGACCGGCCACAUUGGGACUGAGAUACGGCCCAGACUCCUACGGGAGGCAGCAGUGGGGAAUAUUGCACAAUGGGCGGAAGCCUGAUGCAGCAACGCCGCGUGCGGGAUGACGGCCUUCGGGUUGUAAACCGCUUUCGCCUGUGACGAAGCGUGAGUGACGGUAAUGGGUAAAGAAGCACCGGCUAACUACGUG